GUAAAGAAAUCCCAGAGACAGCUCCUUUAACACUGUUGUUUGUGACUUUAAAAUUGCAUGCCUUCAGUUACCAUAGCAAGCAUAUUUCUGUUUUUGUUGAAGACAUUUUGAACAGAACAUAUUUCACCAAAUUCUUUGAAGCUUAUGCGCAGAGAUUUGACAGCAGAGGAGAAUGUACAUGAGUAUAGGAUUUCUUUGUAUGUGGAAUCUGGCCAAGCACAACAUUAAUCCAGACCAUCACGAGGUGAGACAUUAAAUAUACACACACUUAUGUUUUUCUUCUGUUCUUUGUUCAUUCAGGGAGUGCAUGAGUCUGGCAGGUACUUCAAAUGACAGUUGGAAGUGAUUGCAUUUUGCAUUAAUGCCUCAUUACUCACAGGCCACUAUAAUGCAGGAGAGGAGAGAGCAAGGAAGCAUAAAUCAGAAAUGAUUUCUUCUUUAAGAAACUCUUGUUUGGGAGGAUUGUGUUGAAGACAAUGAAAGAGGCAAAUGGCAUAAUUAUAAUUAACACAAUUAAUUUAAGUAUAAUUGUUUCUUAGAGCUUUACUGUCUGCAAGAGCUGUGGUCAUUAUUAGAUAAUUAAGAAAGUAUAGACUCAUUACAUUACAUUGCAUUGCAUUAUAUUUAUUAUAUUGUAGCCAUACGGAAAAAGCUCUUUUAAUGUUCAUUUUACUGUACUGCGUAAUGUACAUGUUUAUCAUCUGUAUACAUUUAAAUUAACACUCAGCAUAAUGUACAUAUUCUGGGCAUUGUAGG
Carassius gibelio (silver crucian carp) is the source of this 756-nucleotide long non-coding RNA. RefSeq lists it as uncharacterized. The record is from RefSeq and is a predicted model, not a curated record. Lineage: Eukaryota; Metazoa; Chordata; Actinopteri; Cypriniformes; Cyprinidae. The transcript is spliced from 3 exons.